GUGAAAUGCAGCCCAUAUGGAGCAGGAGGGUCUCCCAGACUGACUUCCUCUACUAAAAUCCUCAAAGCGAUUCAUUUGCAAAAUCUUCCUAAUAAGUACCACGUGGAUUCCUGGAUACCUCUGGGAUCUUGACUCUGACCUGAAUUUAACAUACGAGUGUCCAGUAUAUCUGGGAUAUCACUGGAGCUCUAUGCAUUAGCCAAAGGUUAUGAGCCUUGUUCACCAAGACUACGGUCCAUGAAGGAGGCCAACCUGGUAGAGAUGAUCCCUGUGAGAUAAUGGAACAUUCACUCAAUAAAUCCCAGGCUCCAGAAGCAGAUGAGCCGGUGAGGAGAUGAGGAGACAAGCAGAUGAAUGGUGGAGUGACGCAGAAGAGAAAGAGAGAAGAGAAUGUUUGAUCACCAAGGGGAGUUCAGCUGGAGACGGUCGGAGAGGAGUUCAUUUGCUGGAUGGACAAACUCCAAGGGAAGAUCAUCUUCCCACUUCAUCCCCCCUUUCAGCUCCCUAGAGGUCCUGCUGACAGCCACCUCCACCACUCAAUAAAAGCCCGCAUUCAUCCUUCAAGCCUGUGUGUGACCCAAUUCUUCCAGGAUGCUGGGCAAGAGC
RNAcentral lists this long non-coding RNA (606 nucleotides) under Homo sapiens (human). RNAcentral's name for it is "HSALNT0223505". The record is from RNAcentral. Lineage: Eukaryota; Metazoa; Chordata; Mammalia; Primates; Hominidae.